ACAAAAUGACACAGUUAUGUUUGUUAUGGCUCCUUUAUCAAAUAAAAUGCAAUGUGAUCAUUGAUAUCAGGGAGAUCUGUAGAAGAUACAAAGAGCACAGAGAAGAAUGGAGCCUCACAGCUCUGGGGAAAUCAAGAAAGCCUUCGUUGAGAAGAUGAUCUUGCAUUGAGUUCUCCAGAAGCUGGGGAUCUAGUGAUGAACAACACAGAAAUCCAUCUAUUCAUGGAGUUUGUAUUCCAGAGCAUGGUGAAACUCAAUUCAAAGAAUCGUAGA
RNAcentral lists this long non-coding RNA (273 nucleotides) under Equus caballus (horse). RNAcentral's name for it is "lncRNA (ENSECAG00000053573.1)". Lineage: Eukaryota; Metazoa; Chordata; Mammalia; Perissodactyla; Equidae. The record is from RNAcentral.